Long non-coding RNA from Hibiscus syriacus, 413 nucleotides. RefSeq lists it as uncharacterized. The record is from RefSeq and is a predicted model, not a curated record. Lineage: Eukaryota; Viridiplantae; Streptophyta; Magnoliopsida; Malvales; Malvaceae. The transcript has 2 exons.
UCGAUCCCAUCAAACCACCACUGCUCUUAGGUCAAUCUACAAGCAUGUGUAUCUGCAUCAAAUGCGGGUGCUUUAGCUGCAAAAAUGAAAGCCCCGCUGGGAAGAAAGAAGAAGAAGAAGAAGCCGACUUUCUUGACGUUAUGCUCGCAGUCUUUCUGCCCCCUGUUGCCAUUUAUAAGAAGCAAAAACGUUGUACGGGCAAACUGUGGGUAAAUAUAUUUCUCACGGUAUCAGGAUAUGUGCCGGGGAGCAUCCACGCUGCCAUGUUCAUAACGAACUGAAGGCGAUGGACUCGAUCGGAUGGUCCUUUAAUUGUAUUACUACUGUCAAUCUGCUUGACAAGGGGCAGGUGAAUAAAAUUUAUGCUGUGCUCUGUUGUGUUUGAAUGAAUCCUAGUUUGUUAUUUUCUCUAA